UAAUAUGGUGUCUGCGCUGCAAGUGCGAAGAGUUGGAUGAAGAGACAAAUGUUUCAUCAAGUGAGUUGUAACAUCCUCAAUACAUGAGCCACC
Molecule: ribosomal RNA, 93 nt
Filed under: Parabacteroides distasonis str. 3999B T(B) 6
Lineage: Bacteria; Pseudomonadati; Bacteroidota; Bacteroidia; Bacteroidales; Tannerellaceae
Description: partial 16S ribosomal RNA
Source: RNAcentral